UUUUUUUUUAUUUAUAUAUUUAAGUUUUUAAUUUUAUUAUUUAUUUAUUUAUUUAUUUUGCGUUCAUUUGUAUUUUUUGUCAUUAGGACAUGUUGAACUAUUAAAUUAAAGUGGUCAAUAUUUGUGAACUAAAUAGGGGUAAAAAAGAAUCCUUUUUAUGUGGACUACACUCCCUCUUCUCUUUCUUAUAUACUAGAAAUUUGUAAAUGAUGAACAAAACAUUUGUAUCUCUUUCUGAAUCUAAAUUUGUAAAAAAGACAGCAGUGCAACACUUACUGGCUGUACUGUGUCCGGGAUUAAAGUUGGUAUGAAGGAACUUUGAUUUUUAAAGAAAGACAUUUUACUGCCCACCCAAUCUGAGUCACUGCCCAAAUAUGUGCUACUUGUUGUCAUCAAUAUUUAAGGUUUGCACUUGUCAUCGACUCAUACUGAUGUUUUACACUACUUCCGCUCUACAAGAGUUCAAGCACUUCAUAUUGCAUAGAAUUUUAGGUGAUAAGCUGUGGUAGAGUCACUAAUUGUGUUCUUCUUAAUAGAAAAGUAGAUGUAGAUGUGAUGGGAGUUAGUGGGAUAAUUGUGAUCAUUGUAGUGAUUUAGGUGUGAGAAGGAGAUAGUGGGCCCAAGAGAAAGGUGAUAAAUAAUCAAUAAUUGGUAAAACCUUAUUAGAAAAAGAAAGUGUUCAAACUAUGUUGGGAUGGAUGAAAGUUGAAAUUUUAAAUUUCAAAGGGAGUAUGUUUUUAAUCAGGGAGGAAGAAUUUCUCAUGCAUGCGACAUUAAUCUCCAACUAAAUCCCCAUCUGUCAAUUCCUACCAAAUGUCAAAUAGGGAGAUGAAGAGUGUGAUUUGUGGCUUUGUGCUUUAAAGUGAGAGACUAAGAGUGCAUUCAAGUGUCCUCUUUCCUAUGUAUUAUUAUUGGAUGUUGGGAUAGCAUUUGUGACAGAUGAAUUCACCAUUGUAUCAUCAUUAUGAAUCCCUACUUACCUAGGCUGCACUUGUUGGAGUUAUUGUGUCUUGGAUAAAAGUUGAUGUGAUCAUAUUGUUAUGUGCUUGGUCUAUGUUUUAUAGUGUUACUUAUGAAGUUGAAUGGAUAGAGAAAGGAAGCUGCCUCGUCAUUUUUCAGAGCACUAACCAAGUUAAAAAUCUGCUCAGACGUGUAUUUACCCAUCACAACACUAGGCUUCCACUUGUCAACAAUAUAUGCUUUUUCAUGAGGUCCUCUUUAUUUUAUUUAAUUUGGGAGGAGUAAUUUCUCUUGCACACGAAAUUAUACUCUUGUAAAUAGAGUCUAAUCCUCAUCUUUGAAAAUAGUAUUUACUUCUAAUCUUCAUCUUUGUAAAUGGUAUAUACUUCACUCUUGGAAUGUGGAUACUUUCCUAGAAUAUUGUCUUUCUCUUUCCCUGCAAGAUUUUACUCUGUUCUCAGAAUUGGCUUGUUAAAAAAUAAUUAGAUGAAAAAAAGAAACAAGUCACUUGAAUUUCUAUUUCACCAUGAAGAAGAGAAUUAACAAUGAUGGAGUUGAAUUUUACUUCGGGCUUAUUAACAUGCUUAAAGACUGCCCUUUUGGUAAGUGCUAAUAAAUGAUGGCAAUGGCAAUGGAUUUGUAUAUAAAUUUGUAAGAGAAAUCAAUUUUUUCCGUGGUAAUGAUUUCCAUACUAUCUAUUUUUCUUCACAAAUUUCCAUUACCAUCCAUUACCAUUUAGGGGGUGGUGUUGGUUGGUAAUGGGCAUUUAUGAAGAAAAUCACUGAUUUGGGGAUGAGAUUGCAUUGUUAUGGACAUUAUGAUAUUGAUUUGCUUGCCAAAUUACACUUAAUUCCAUUCCCAUUGCCAGGAAGUAUUCUCAUUUCAUCGUGACUCUGAGCUAUUUCUGAAUUUCUGUGCCUGAGUCCUGCCUUGGUUUGACUUAGACGAUCAAGAUAACUAAUCAAGUCAGCAGUCAAAGUACAAUUUCUGUGAAAUUUGGAUCAUGCUAGCCUGAAAAUGUUUGAAAUUUGUUGUGUUGGAUGCUGGGUCACUACACUAAGCAGCAAUAUCAUUCAGAUCAAAUUGUUGUUCUUGAGUGUCAUUGUGACUGCUUGUCUUUGUGUUGACGACACGGACUUCUAACUUCAUAGAUUAUGCUUUGAAGCAGUUUUGAUAUUGUUUGCUUUCUUAAGAGACUUUAUUUUCCUUUUGAUAUUCUUUCUAACUCUAGAUUCAUAUGAAGGUUUCGUGUUUUUAUUAGUUUCCAUGAUGCAAUGCACUCAAUCUAAAUUUCUUAAAAAUAUGAUAGCAAUGUAUUUUUGGCUUUUUAUUUCUUCCAAAUUUCUUGGCCUGAAAUCCAUGAGAUUUUGAGCUGCUUAUGAUAAGUGCAAACAGGGGAGUGUUAAAACUUAAAAGCACAUCAAAGUAGCAGAUAUGUUUCAGAUUUUCAGGUGAGUGUUUGUUAUCCUUCAUCGCAGCAUCAGCUUGCUUAUCGACGUGGUUGUACUAUUUGUUUCUUGGAUUGGCAUUUUUUUGCCUGUAUGAGCAGUAGGUUUUUAGUGUUGAAGUAGUGACUCCUUUUGUUUGUUACUUUUUUUCCUUGCAUUUUCUUAUAUUCCUUUUGUCUCUGUUAAAAUGGCAAUUGGGCAUACAGCAAAUGUAAUAUUCCCUCAAUUUGUUAUUUUGAACUGUUAGAGGUUUUGUCGCCACAAAAUAUAUGUAAGUAGUAAUGGUUGCAGCUUGCAGGAAUUGAAAAUUUGACAUUCAACCUUAACUACUAUUUCCUCUCUCCUUGUUUAAAUUUACUUUCAUUUUUACUGCAUAAUUAAAAGUUUGAAUCUGUUUGGUGACUAGCUGGAUAUUCUCAACUGUUUUCCUUUUUCAUUAUAAAUUACUCCGAGAUUGAUCAUCUAAGUCUUUUAUGUAACAUCAUUCCUUAUAUUAUUAAUCAAUAUUACCCCAUUAUCUGAGCUCCAUUUGAAUCUUUGUGUGAGUAAAGCCUGAUUUUUUUUGAAGAGACUUGAGCUGGUGAUGUAAAAAGGAAACACACUUUAGUUAUAUGAUUGCUAUGAGAAUGGCAAACAGAAGUUUUGUACUUUUGAGGUUAAUAAUGGAAUUUCUAUAGGAAUGCCAUAAGAUUGGUGUUGCUCUAUGGUACAGAAUUUUGGGCCUCUAAGGAGCACAUUAAAAAGAUGGGAGGUUACGGAAAUGCACAUGUUAAGAUGGAUGUGCAGGAACACUCUAAGAGAUAGAAUCAUGAGGUUAUUCACAAGAAAGUGGGUGUCGCAGGCAUUGCAGACAAACUAAGGAAAAAGCGCCUGCGUUGGUUUGGGCAUGUAAGAUGGAGACCCGAGGUGCACCGGUACGAAGAGUGGAAGAGUGGGACCAUGGAGAGGUUAAACUAGGGAGAAGGAGACCGAAAAUGACUUGGUUGGAAGGAGUUGGAAGGAUAUGAAGCAUAUGGAUUUGCAUGAUAAUGAGGUAUUUGAUCGUAAGGAAUGAGGAGGAAGAUUUUGGUGGAUGAUAUGGAAUAAUCACUUUUGGUUCAUGUAGCCGACCCCACUUGUGGGAUGAAGGCUUUGAUUGAUUGAGGCUAAUAAUGGGAGGUGGCGGUAAUUAUAUUCUGUAAAAUGCAGAAGACCUUUAAGGGGAUAUUGGUCUUGUUAGCUUCAGCCGACCUAGUGAUGUAUACCUCUAUAAUUUUUUAAAUGCUAUUAAUUUCAAUUACGUUGUGUGCCUUGUAACUAUCAGUGUGAAAUGCAGUGCUUGUGUAAUUAUCAGAAUCUCUGGUUUCUACAUCGUCUUUGCAGUAGUCUGAAUAUAGCAAAUUUCUUUUAGUCUGCAUAUGACUUUGAAAUCUCUAAUUUUAUGGGGUAAGACUAAAGUGUUUAUCUCAUGUAGUCAUGUGUUUAUUAUGCCAUUGUUUGAUCUUCUUUUGGUAGCUGAUAGGAGUAUUAUGAGCUCAUAUGCAGGUUCUCUGUUUAAUUGGACUAGUCUCUGCUUAAUGCUGUACUGCUAAUAGUUCUUAAACUUUUGCUGCUGUGAGAUAAUAAAUACUUCAAGUUUUACAUAAAAGAUAUUACAUCUGGUAUGCAUAAAUAUGUUAUUCAUUAUGGUUUCUUGUGAGGAAUAUUACAGGUCAUAAGAGUUUUGUGCAUUUAGGUAAUAAUGACGAUCUACCUUAUGUGAGGAACUUGGCUUUUUAACAUAGUAUACUCACAAUCUAACCUAGUAGUUUUUGUGUCAGAAUGUCUGAUUAAAUGCUUCUGUUCAGACAAAUUAAUUUUUGAUUUUUUUUAGUUUUGUGUAUAUUCAUGAAUCACGAGUCAUGACUAUUUAACCAUAAAGAAUUAGGUUCAUGUUCGUCAUAGUGUAACUUUUAACCUUUUUUUUUUUUUGGUCAACUGUAUUGGUUUUAUACACUGGUCAGUCAGACCAUCUUUCCUAAGAAUUUGUAAAAACUAAUAUUUUAAGUAGAAAUGUAUGUUGAGGAGAAUUAUUAAUGCAUCUUCUUUUAGGGUAAUUUUUAAUGGUUGAUGUACCCACCUGUAAAUAUUAAGUAUGUUCCUAUAAAUACAGAUUAGUUUUUAAUGGCUUAGGUUUUGUUUGUUGGACACCUGCAGUUAAAAUCUUUGCUUGUUGAAGUGUUGUUUGCUCUAGGUAGGGUAAAAUUUAUAUGCGUGUGAAUAGUCUUACAGUGCUACCGUGUUUGUAGCAGCUGUUUCUAGUUUGUUCAUCUUGCAAAACUUUCCUUGUGGUUAGUUUUCCUUGCCAAUUGUCGUCUGGUUUAUCUCUCAGUAUCUCUUAGCCACAACUAAAUGCUUGUUUUGGUAAACAACUUUGUGUAAGGUUCUUUUCCCCUCUUGAUUAUGCUCAAAUUAUGUGGCUCUAUUACUUCUAUAUAUGUCUGGUAAUUUACGAUGUUUGGUUCCUUCCCUUGGUUGCUAUGUGAGCCAGAGGUGAAGAGCUGUAAUUGCAGUAUUUGGUUUCCUGUAGAUUACGCUCCCCUGCUUAUCAUCUUUUGAUGGUUUCAUUGAUUGUUGAUAAGCUGUAAAAUUUGGUACAUGCCCAGUGUGUGCACUGUACUUUUUUCAGAAUUCUGGUGCCUGCUGUGACUGUUAGUUGUCACUUUUGUUUUUUCGAUUAGAUUUGGCUGACCUGAAUCAAAUUACUGGUCCUUGUUUGAUCUUGCUUUUGUGAGCUUUAUGUGCCCAGGAGCUCUUGUGCUUCUGAUCUCCAUAUCAGCAUAUUGUGUAAGUGAAGUUGUCUCUCAUCCAUGAUCAAGGUUAAGGCCCAUUUUUAUUUUUAUUUUAUUUUAUUUUAUUUUUUUUUUUUUUUUUUUUUUUUGAAAAAAAUAUCAUCUUAAUGGCCUUGUGGAGUUUUGAACUUGCAAAUUAUAAUAUCUUUCUUAAUCAUUGUAGGUCCUGGCACAUGCUUGAUGCUUACUGUAGCAUAUCUUUUGUUUUAAUCUAAUAAUGCUGCAGGCCACCAUAGCCUUCUGGCUCUCAUGACCAGUCCCAAGCUGGAGUUCUAGUGGUCAUGUGACUCAAAACUUGUAGGGUAUGCCAAGAAAACCUGUUUGUCAACAUCAAGAAUACCACAAAAGCUGGAUGUGUCUGGGCUCCACAAGUACAUCAAUCUGCUUAUAUGAAGUUGAUAUUGUGACCAAGAUGUCAAUCUCAACUCACUGAUCCAUGUCGAUAUGGUCUAGUGGUCUACCACCAUGAAUGUUUGGACAUGAGAGGCUUUGGCUCAAUGCAUCAGCUAAUCAGCUGUGGAAGUACUACUGCAUGUGAAAGGGGCCAAAAUGUGGAUUUGAAAUGGAAAUCAUUGCCAAAAGUGAAGCAUCGUCUGUGCGUUGAUUGAAGCGUGCAAUCAGUUAAGACUUGCAUCAAGAAUUUAUUCCUGCAAUUGACUACACUUUUUUUAGCACACUUGAUCAAUUAUUUCGUAUUUACAUUUAAUUUUCUGUUUCUUACUAUAAUUUGUUUAUAUGCUUUGCGGGUGUGGAAAGAGUGCCAUUACACCUCAUAUUUUCUAGGGGAUAAGUGUACAAGGUUUUGGUGUACGUGUGAAAUUACUAGACCAUAAUAGAAAGGCAUUAAUAGAUGAAGCUAAGGAGGGGUCACCAUCAUUGGGGAGAAAAGAACAGGUGAUGAAAUGAGAGCAACUCAUAGAAUAUUGAGCUGUGCUGAAGAGGUUAUUCGGUGUCCCUAUUAUCGGAAGGAAUUUAAGAACUGUUGUCUAAACUCGGGCUGCAUGUCAAUAUCGGAUUAUUAAUGGAAAUGCUUGCUUUGCUCUAAAUUUGGGUGUUAUUGUAUGACAAUGAAAGUGUAAGGUGGCAAAAUUGAACCUAAAAUUUCAUACACCUGAGCUCAGUAAUGAAUUGGAGUCUCCCUUAGUUGAAGGCAGGACAAAACGGAGUAGUUGUUAUGUUGUUGCAUCAGGGUUCCACCUCUUUUUUAUUUGUGGUUGAAGGCGUAAAUGUGCUAGAUUUUCUUCUAUAAUUUUGUUUAUAAGUUAUCAAUAAUUAUCACCACUCGUUAAAAUGGUGAUGGAAUGAGUGCCCAACAACGAUGUGAUAUGUUCCCAAAUUGUGUUUAUAGUAUUUUGGCUGGAAUUAACAAUAACAUAUGCUAUUUUUACU
Long non-coding RNA from Chenopodium quinoa (quinoa), 6607 nucleotides. RefSeq lists it as uncharacterized. The record is from RefSeq and is a predicted model, not a curated record. Lineage: Eukaryota; Viridiplantae; Streptophyta; Magnoliopsida; Caryophyllales; Amaranthaceae. The transcript has 3 exons.